GACGAACGCUGGCGGCGUGCUUAACACAUGCAAGUCGAACGGAAAGGCCCUGCUUUUGUGGGGUGCUCGAGUGGCGAACGGGUGAGUAACACGUGAGUAACAUGUCCUUGUCUUUGGGAUAACUUCAGGAAACUGGGGCUAUUACAGGAUAGGAGAUCCUGUUGCAUGGUGGGGGUUGGAAAGUUACGGCGGUUGGGGAUGGACUCGCGGCUUAUCAGCUUGUUGGUGGGGUAGUGACUUUCAAAGGCUUUGACGGGUAGCCGGCCUGGGAGGUGGACCGGCCACAUGACUACUGCGGGACGGCCCAGACUCCAACGUGAGGCAGCAGUGGGGAACAUGACAGAACGGGCGGGAGCCUGUUGCGACAACGCCGCGUGCGUGAUGACGGCCUACUAGUUAUGAACCUCUGUCUCCGUAACCGAAGCGUGAUUGACGGUAAUUGGUAAAGAAGCACCGGCUAACUACGUG
RNAcentral lists this ribosomal RNA (468 nucleotides) under uncultured bacterium. RNAcentral describes it as "partial 16S ribosomal RNA". It matches the Rfam family "Bacterial small subunit ribosomal RNA", at positions 28 to 507 of the family's 1533-position model. The record is from RNAcentral.